This is an RNA transcript of Poecilia latipinna (sailfin molly), 1346 nucleotides long. It is a transcript of the gene named ankyrin repeat domain 46b, with no coding region annotated. The transcript is spliced from 5 exons. Lineage: Eukaryota; Metazoa; Chordata; Actinopteri; Cyprinodontiformes; Poeciliidae. The record is from RefSeq and is a predicted model, not a curated record.
UGUUGAUCUUCUGUGUUACUAAAAAGAAACGAAACACAGCUAGCAACGUUAGCUUGAAGAGCUGCGACGUCCAGUUUUUUUUCUACUAAUUUGGAAACCUAUAAACAGGUACGCUGGAAUUUUCUGACACUCACUCGGACAUGUCCUAUGUCUUCAUCAAUGACUCGUCGCAGACCAGCGUGCCUCUGCUGCAGGCCUGCAUCGACGGCGACCUCCCGUUCGCCAAGAGGCUCCUGGAGACCGGCUGCGACCCCAACAUCCGCGACAACCGCGGUCGCACCGGCCUCCACCUAGCCGCCGCCCGUGGCAACGUGGAGAUAUGCCGCCUGCUGCACAAGUUUGGCGCCGACCUUCUGGCAACGGAUUACCAAGGGAACACGGCGUUGCACUUGUGCGGCCACGUGGAUACCAUACAGUUCCUGGUGUCCAACGGAUUAAAGAUCGAUAUCUGUAACCACAAUGGUUCGACUCCUCUGGUGCUGGCAAAAAGACGUGGGGUCAACAAGGACGCCAUUCGCCUGCUGGAGGGCCUGGAGGAGCAGGAAGUGAAGGGUUUCAACAGAGGGGCUCACUCCAAACUGGAGACCAUGCAGAUGGCAGACAGUGAGAGCGCGAUGGAGAGCCACUCUCUGCUCAACCCCAACCUGCAGAGCAGCGAAGGCGUCCUGUCCAGCUUCCGUACCACCUGGCAGGAGUUUGUGGAGGACCUGGGCUUCUGGAGGGUCCUGCUGCUGCUGGUGGUCAUCGCCCUCCUCUCCCUCGGCAUCGCCUACUACGUCAGCGGCGUGCUGCCUUUCUCCAGCAGCCAGCUGGAGUUGGUUCACUGAGGAGGAGGAGCAGGAGGAGGAAGUGACAACGGUGGAAAAGGAACAGCAUGGAGGGAAGAAGUUGAGUCAAAGUUCUGCUCAAACAAAAACGUAGAUUUAUUUGCUGCCCAGAUUCAUUUUUAUCAUCUUAUCCUGUCAGCUAAACAAAAGAUCUUAACAAAUUCUCCUCUAAUUUUUGCCUUUACUUAAUGUAAAAUUGUUGAUUAUUUCACUAAGAGGCAGGAGAACAUUUAGUUUAGUUUCAGUCUUGUGUUAAAUCUUGAAUCUGAAGUGAGAACGACUGAAGCUGGACUCAUCCAGAAUCAUCUGCUCCUGUUGUGUUUGACUCUAACUCUCCAACUGUCCUUUUCCUGUUACAAUCUGUACAUUUCAGUGUUUGUAUCCUUUAUUUUGACAGUGUUCUCUUAAUAUUAUUUAUUAUGUAUUCAUUUUUCUUUAUACUGACUGUUUAUUUCACUCCUACAUCUCUGCUGUCUUUAUUGGCUGAAACCCAAAUAGCAUUAAAUAAAUUUUUUAUUU